Molecule: ribosomal RNA, 350 nt
Filed under: uncultured bacterium
Lineage: Bacteria
Description: partial 16S ribosomal RNA
Rfam family: Bacterial small subunit ribosomal RNA
Source: RNAcentral
CCUACGGGUGGCAGCAGUGGGGAAUAUUGCACAAUGGGGGAAACCCUGAUGCAGCAACGCCGCGUGGGGGAAGGAGGGUUUAGGCGCGGAAAGCCCUGUCAGCGGGGAAGAAGAAAGACGGAACCGGACCAAGAAGCACCGGCUAACUACGUGCCAGCAGCCGCGGUAAGACGUAGGGGGCGAGCGUUAUCCGGAAUUACGGGGUGUAAAGGGAGCGUAGACGGCGUGGGAAGGCGGAAGUGGAAGCACGAGGCACACCCGCGGAACUGCGUUGGGUACGGUUUUGCUGGUGUAUGGGAGGGGUAAGCGGUAUUCCUGUUGUAGCGGUGAACUGCUUAGAUCUCAGGCGG